ACAUAUUUUAGAGCCUAAUUCAUCUUAAUUAAUAAUCAAAAUUACAUUCAAAUCCAAAUUUAAAAUUUUAAUGCUAAAAUUUUUCCUCAAAUAAAUUUAUUGUAAUCCAUCUCUACUUUAAUAAAGCUGCACCUUGAUCUGAUUUUUGAUUUAAUAAAAUAUCCUAAUUAUAUAUUUCUAAAAAUAAUUUUCAACGACGAUAUACAAGCAAAAAUAAAGUUUUAUUAAUCGUGGAUUAUCGAUUACAGGACAGAUUCCCCUGAUUGGAAUAAAAAACCGCCAAAUUUUUUGAUUUUAAAGAACAUAACUUAUAUUUAUCAAGUCUUAAUAUAUCUACAUCUAGAAUAAUGGGGUAUCUAAUCCCAGUUUAACUUCUAGAUUUCUUAACCUCAUAAUCAAAAAUUUAAUUAAAUGAAAAAUAAGAUUUCACCCAAUAUUCACCAAAAUAAAAAUUAACUUUUAUUAAUUAAGUAUCAAAACUGUUUUAAAAUAGUAGCAUUAUUUGUUUAACCGCA
RNAcentral lists this ribosomal RNA (515 nucleotides) under Samuelsonia sp. JGZ-92. Its description in RNAcentral is "partial 12S ribosomal RNA". The record is from RNAcentral. Lineage: Eukaryota; Metazoa; Arthropoda; Insecta; Coleoptera; Chrysomelidae.